This 1363-nucleotide long non-coding RNA is filed under the name Mus musculus (house mouse). RNAcentral's name for it is "predicted gene, 56877". Lineage: Eukaryota; Metazoa; Chordata; Mammalia; Rodentia; Muridae. The record is from RNAcentral.
GAAGCGUCGCCGGGGCCGGGCUAGCGGGUGGUUCCCGAAACCGCAGUGCUCCGCAGGGCUUUGAGGUGGGUAGUGGGCGGGCAGUCCCCGGCGCUUCCCUGGGCGAGACACGCCUUGCUGGCCCGGUUUCUCGCAUUUUAUUUAGUUUUUAAGCUGGAGUCUAGUAGCUCCGACUGGCCUCACGCUCCUGAUCGUUCUUGAUUGGAGUGCUGGGGUGACCGGAGUGCCACAGCACUCUUGAGCGUUUUUCAGGGUGCGGUCGGAAGCACAGAGUGCGCCAGCUGCAGCGUGAUAAGGUCAGUAAGCUCUCAGGUGGCAAGGACAGGAGGCUAGCCGGGAGUUAGAGGCUGUGACGUCCCCAUGCCUGCACGGCUCUCCCCACAUUCGCCUAUCUCGGCCAGUCGCCCCUUCUCUGUUACUCCAGCGGAUGCGGCAGUUUGUAAGGUCUUCUGCUCACAGCUGUCUGCGGCAGAAAGAGGAUUCCUCAAGACAACCGCCACACGACAGUUGAACAUCUGCAUUUGAAUGUGAAACUGCCCCGGUUCUUGUGCUUGAGCCGGUGGCUCCCAGUCGCCCGUGCUAUUUUAGGAAAAUACAGAACCUUUAGGACUGUUAAGAGCCUUGACCCAAGUAGAUCAGUCAGAAGGUGACAGCUGUUUCCACCACAAAGACCCAAUUAAACCCCCUCUGGUUCCUCUCUCUUAAUUUUCUCCCGCAUGUAUAUCUUUGAACCAAGUGCAUGCAGAGGCCAGGAGAGGGCAUGGGAUGCCCUGGAACUGUUAGAUGGUUGUGGUCCUCUGUGUGGAAGGAGGGUAAAAAGCCGAACCGGUGAUCUUAACCCCUGAGCCACUGCACCCUCCUGAACUCGAGAGAGCUCCAAAAUCCAAGCAGUCAGUCACUGUGUCGGUACUGAACCCAGGGCCUUCUGCAUGCUAAGCCCAGGCUAGACCAUUGGCUGGACCCCAAUCCUAAACCUACAGCCUUUCUGAGUGCCCAUGUGAGGCUGCAAGUGGCAAGUUAUACAGUGUGAAACACUGCAAGAACUUUGUUGUUAUUCAAGACAUGCUGCUGCUGCUGCUGCUGCCCUGACUGUCCUGGAACUCUGUGGACCAGGCUGUCCUCCAACUCACAGAGACCUGCCUGCCUCUCCUUCCCAAGUGCUGGGAUUAAAGGCAUGUGCCUUUGAACACAUUUUAAAACCUUUUAUCGUUUGUGAAUUUAACAUCAUGCCCCCUAACCUCUCUCACCGCCCCCCUUCAGCUCAUAACUUCCCACACCCUUGUCACCCUCCCAGUAGAGAAAAUGCUCAUGGAAGCUGUAGUGUGUCAGUGUGUCCCACAGUAUAACCUGAUGUUCACACUUC